RNAcentral lists this long non-coding RNA (2965 nucleotides) under Cyanistes caeruleus (blue tit). Its description in RNAcentral is "lncRNA (ENSCCEG00000008326.1)". The record is from RNAcentral. Lineage: Eukaryota; Metazoa; Chordata; Aves; Passeriformes; Paridae.
AUGGCUGCAGCCAGCGGCGAGGGGACAGCAGGGACCCGGCUCCUGCCAGCUGGCACUGCCCUGGCCCUGCUCGGUGGCCUGGUCUACCUGGGCACCCUGUGUGCUGCCUGUAAACGGAAGGGCAGGAAGAAGGUUGCUCCAGAUGGGGUGAAGCUCGUGGAUGAGGCCCUGCUCUGCCGGACACAGCUGCGGUCACUCAGCAAGUCCGACACGAAGCUGCACGAGCUGUACCGGGUGAAGGUCAGAGAUGAUGUCCAGCGUCCGGCCAGUCUGGAUCUCCCCUGUCCCACAGCCCCUGGAGGCGAAUCCCUGCACAGCUCUGGCCUCCUGCACCGUGAGCUGCCCCAGAUCCCUGUCCCUGCCCCCCCGGCUGCCUCCCCAGCCCCUGACCAGACCUACUCCAACCUGCUCUUCACCCCGCUGCGGAAACCAGCGCCAGACUCUGUCUAUGAGUGCCUGGCAGUGGGGGGAGAGGAUGCCCCAGUGCCCCCCAUGCCAGCUGGCACCCAGGUGUCCCCUCCACGGGCUGUGCAUGGGGCAGCCGAUUAUGCCUGUGUCCAUAAAGUGAAGAAGGUGGUGUCAGUGGAGGUGCAGCCUGGGGCUGUGGCAGGACCCCCUGGAGCACAGCACUGCUGGGAUGGUGCAGGCAAUGCCCCUCAGGCCAAGCUGGAGGAGAUGUACUCAACGGUGUGCAAAGCCACCAAGAAGAAAUCCCAGGUCCCUGCACCAACCCCGAGGGCUGUGAAGGAGCUGGGUUCUGGGUGGCCAGCCCCCCACCAGCAGGAGGGGGCCCCAGCAGCCCCAGGCCCCCCUGACCCCUGUUACGAGUCCAUCAACGACAGAGCAUGGACUGCUCAGGGCCGUGGCCCCGACCCCGACUAUGAGGCUGUGGACAUUAACUGGAAGAAAGCAGCAAAACGGGACAAGCCAGGGAAGCCCUGUGUCCCCGAGAACCUGUACGAGAGCGUGGUGGACAUUUGGGCAGGGGAGCCCCGGAAAGCCUCGGCCCGGACGGCGGCCAAUGGGCUGGAGGUUUACAUCACCAACCUAUAGCCCCCGGGAGCAGGGCCAGUGCCACAGGGGGUCCCAGCAGGCGGGACACCAUCGGGUGCCAAAGGGACAGUGCCAGCAGCCCUGUGCCCCCCAGAGCGGCUGUGUUCCUGCACUCUCUCUCUGUAUAGAUUUUCUGUUACUUUUCUAUGAGUGUCCUUGUCCCAUCCCAGCCCAGCUGGUGCCAGCAGGUUGAUGGUGGGGUGUCCCAGGAUGGGCAGUUUGGGGGUGCUGGGUGCUGUGUGGCACCCCAGUGAGACAGGGCUGGCCCUGGCACCAAGAUGGGAACAGGGUGAGGACCAGUCAUGUUUUGGGGCAGGGGGUGAUGGGCUGAAGCCAGCCCCAUGCCUUGGGUUGCAGGAUCAGACCCUCAUUGGGAGGUUUCUGCCAUGACUGAGAGGGUCUCUGUCCUCCUCAUACUGCCUGGGGGAGACCAGGCCCCCCUCCAGCCCCCAGGAAGCCCUGAGAAGCUUUGCUCCCAUCACAGAACGUCCCUUGUUAUGGGGAGAUGGGGUCAGCCCUGUGCCUUCAUGGAAUCAUGGAAUAUCCUGAGUUGGAAAGGACCCACAAGGCUUCAAGGGAUCAUUGAGUUCAUCUGAUCCUGCACAGGACAACGCAGAAAUUUCACUGGUGUGGGCUGUGGGCUCUGCUCCAUCCUCCAUUCCCACCCUUUCAGACCCAGGCAAGGGUGUCUCCGAGGGCAGCCCUCUCCCAAACACCAUUAAAAGGCUGAGAGAUGGUUCACACUCUUAAAUUGAGCCUAAAUCCCUGUUUCUGGGGGCUGUUGCUGCUGAUGCAACAGGUGCUGGGGGAGCAGUUUUGAGCACAAUGUGACUGUGAGUGCACCCGCCCUGGAUGGGUGGUUUGGCACCUCUGAAAUGGGGACACAGCCACCAGGAGCUGCUGUACGGGGUGAUCUGUGCCGGAGCAGAGCCUUGCACAGGGCUGGGGUAGAAGCCAGGCUGCGUUUGCUCAGCAUUUGCUCAUCUUCCCAUGGCCCCUGGGAGCCCUGCAGCCUCCACGUGCCAAAAAACUUGGUGGGCUGGAUGUUUACCAGAGCUUAAACUGCUCUCCUCGCCGGCGGAGUUGCACAUCCGUGCCUCAAGGGACGCCGUGGAGAGGCAGUGACACUGGCACUGCUGACAUGGCCAGCGGCUGGCCAGCGGCUGCCUGGCCUCGUGGCACGAUGGCCAUGUGCUCGCUGGAGCCGGCUGGAGCCUGCAGCCCCUGUGGCAGGAAGCCAAGCGCCUUCCCUCAGCAUCUUUGCCCCCGCACCGCAGCAGGUGAAGAGAUUAAAACCGAAAACGCGGCGCUCAGCAAACCCAGCUGAAGGCCUUAGAGCUGGAGGCACCCCAGGCAUCGUCAGCCCCGCGCUCGACGCCAAACCACAGCUGCUCUCGAGAGCUUCUCCCAUCCCCCUGCGAGAUAAGGGCGCUGAUAGAGCCGGGCUGGUGCCGGUGCUGCCGUGCUCUUCCUGCUGCCAGCGCGCCACAAGGACGCGUGGGCUCCCACCACGCUGCCCCGGCCGCAUCCUUCCCCUGCUCCCCUUCUCCAUCGUCCCACCGCACGUGGCUGGGUCCCUCCUGCACCACCUGAAUCCCCUGGGAGCUGCUUUGGGCCGUGUUGCCAGGCACAGGAGCAUCAUGUCCAUGUGGGACCAGGGUGGCUUCACUCCGCUCCCUGCGCUGCCUGUGGGCUGGCUUGUGCCACCUCCCUGGGGAAAGGCAGGCUUGGAAUGGCAUCAGGGAAGGGAAAGCUCCUGCUGUGGUGGAGCUGAGGUGGCCAAAUUUAGUCUCCAAUUUGCCCCAGCAGCAGCAGAAGCCGUGCAGGGCUGCCCGCUUGUCUGUAAUUCCUGUGGGACUUGGGAGAGCCGGACUCAAAUAAAAGAACUGCCCAGUCCUCGGGGUGAUGGAAA